This 245-nucleotide ribosomal RNA is filed under the name uncultured Tepidanaerobacter sp. RNAcentral describes it as "partial 16S ribosomal RNA". It matches the Rfam family "Bacterial small subunit ribosomal RNA", at positions 524 to 768 of the family's 1533-position model. Lineage: Bacteria; Bacillati; Bacillota; Clostridia; Thermosediminibacterales; Tepidanaerobacteraceae. The record is from RNAcentral.
UACGUAGGGGGCGAGCGUUGUCCGGAAUUACUGGGUGUAAAGGGCGUGUAGGCGGGGAUGCAAGUUAUCGGUAAAAACCCCAGGCUCAACUUGGGGCUUGCCGAUAAAACUGCAACUCUUGAGUGCAGGAGAGGGAAGUGGAAUUCCCGGAGUAGCGGUGAAAUGCGUAGAUACCGGGAGGAACACCAGUGGCGAAGGCGGCUUCCUGGCCUGUAACUGACGCUGAGGCGCGAAAGCUGGGGGAG